Molecule: transfer RNA, 84 nt
Filed under: Tilletia horrida
Lineage: Eukaryota; Fungi; Basidiomycota; Exobasidiomycetes; Tilletiales; Tilletiaceae
Description: tRNA-Thr
Rfam family: tRNA
About the family: Transfer RNA (tRNA) molecules are approximately 80 nucleotides in length. Their secondary structure includes four short double-helical elements and three loops (D, anti-codon, and T loops).
Source: RNAcentral
GCCUGUUUAGCUCAGUGGUAGAGCGUUGCACUUGUAUACAACCAUUUUAUGCAAAGGUCACUUGUUCGAUCCAGGUAAUAGGCA